RNAcentral lists this transfer RNA (83 nucleotides) under soil metagenome. It matches the Rfam family "tRNA". Rfam says of the family: Transfer RNA (tRNA) molecules are approximately 80 nucleotides in length. RNAcentral also lists the same sequence under 1 other name. The record is from RNAcentral.
GCCCGGGUGGCGGAACGGCAGACGCGGGGCACUCAAAAUGCUCUGCCCGAAAGGGCGUGCGGGUUCGACUCCCGCCCCGGGCA